Molecule: ribosomal RNA, 274 nt
Filed under: uncultured bacterium
Lineage: Bacteria
Description: partial 16S ribosomal RNA
Rfam family: Bacterial small subunit ribosomal RNA
Source: RNAcentral
AUACGGAGGGUGCAAGCGUUACUCGGAAUCACUGGGCGUAAAGGAUGCGUAGGCGGAUAAUCAAGUCAAAAGUGAAAUCCCACGGCUUAACCGUGGAACUGCUUUCGAAACUGGUUAUCUAGAAUAUGGAAGAGGCAGAUGGAAUUAGUGGUGUAGGGGUAAAAUCCGUAGAGAUCACUAGGAAUACCGAUUGCGAAGGCGAUCUGCUGGGACAUUAUUGACGCUGAGGCAUGAAAGCGUGGGGAGCAAACAGGAUUAGAAACCCGAGUAGUCC